This 497-nucleotide ribosomal RNA is filed under the name uncultured bacterium. Its description in RNAcentral is "partial 16S ribosomal RNA". It matches the Rfam family "Bacterial small subunit ribosomal RNA", at positions 28 to 507 of the family's 1533-position model. The record is from RNAcentral.
GAUGAACGCUGGCGGCGUGCCUAAUACACGCAAGUCGAGCGAACAGACGAGGAGCUUGCUCCUCUGACGUUAGCGGCGGACGGGUGAGUAACACGUGGAUAACCUACCUAUAAGACUGGGAUAACUUCGGGAAACCGGAGCUAAUACCGGAUAAUAUAUUGAACCGCAUGGUUCAAUAGUGAAAGACGGUUUUGCUGUCACUUAUAGAUGGAUCCGCGCCGCAUUAGCUAGUUGGUAAGGUAACGGCUUACCAAGGCAACGAUGCGUAGCCGACCUGAGAGGGUGAUCGGCCACACUGGAACUGAGACACGGUCCAGACUCCUACGGGAGGCAGCAGUAGGGAAUUUUCCGCAAUGGGCGAAAGCCUGACGGAGCAACGCCGCGUGAGUGAUGAAGGUCUUCGGAUCGUAAAACUCUGUUAUUAGGGAAGAACAAAUGUGUAAGUAACUAUGCACGUCUUGACGGUACCUAAUCAGAAAGCCACGGCUAACUACGUG